Molecule: long non-coding RNA, 17059 nt
Filed under: Coffea arabica (coffee)
Lineage: Eukaryota; Viridiplantae; Streptophyta; Magnoliopsida; Gentianales; Rubiaceae
Description: long non-coding RNA (CARA_LNC002070)
Source: RNAcentral
UUUUUUUUUUUUUUUUUGGUGUUUUACAACAAUUUUUUUAAUGGUUUUGGUUGUGAUUAGCCGCUAGCCAGGAUAAUUACCCCGAGCUUAGCACAAUUGUGUGAGUUUUGGCCUUCAUUUGGAGAUAAAAUUCCCAGCACUAGUUUAAAUCAUCAAAGAGAUUAGGAAAUAGAAACUAUGAGUAUGGCUAUUUUGUUCAAGUGGAAGUUGGGAUAAAUGGUCCUUUUCAAUUUAGGUUCUAGAACACAAGAAGAAAUCUGUGGCUAGUACAGGGUAAUUACGGUUUGCUUUGGAGCAUAUCAGCAGAUGAGCUAUUGUUUAUACUUGACUAAUGGUCAUUAGGAUGCAAAAGCCUAAACCAUUUCUUGUUUUGAGUUUUGACUGGUAGAUUUUGCUAUUGUGACCCAGAUAAACCAACUUAAUUCAACGCAACUUAAUCAAUACUUAUAUAAAUAAAAAUUGUGAGUCAAUUGAUGCUUUCGAAUUUAUUUGCAUUAGAAUUUAGAAAUUGGCCUAGGUCUCCUUGAUCGCAUGCUUCGUCCCUUAGGAACUGACGUAAGUGUCAAGUUUGGACCACUACUAAUAUGCCAGGUAUUUCUAGAGAAUAGAGAGAGUUAAUUCUAAUCUGAUUAGAAGAAAUGUGGCAAAAAAAGAAACAAAAAAAAAAAAAAAACCAACGAAUUGAAGGAAGACAUAAAUUCCAAAUGUUUGGAUAGGAGAUUAUUUGGGAUAAAUUUUUAAAGAAUAUGCUGUGACAUUUUUUUGACAUGAUAUACAGUGAGAUAAAAAGAUGAUUAAAAAAUCAGUUGAUGACACAAAUAAAUCAAUGGAUGUAAAUAAGGUGCAAUCAAAACCAUUUAUUAGAUAUUGGAUCAUUUAAUCCAUGAUGAUCUAUUUACAUAAAACCAAUUAUCAUCCAUAUAUCAGUCUCUAAGCAAAGGCAGGAAAAAUGAAGACAUAAAGCAACCAAGACCAAGAGGGCUACAAAUGCUGGACUCAUUCUCUAAUAAUAAGUACUACUACAAACUGAAUGGUACUGAAUACCAUGGAGAUGUUUAAGCAGUUAAGAAUUACGUAUUUUUUAAUACCUAAUAACAACUAUACCAAGCGCCUUUUUGUUGCAUCCAAAAAAUUGGUAAAGUUAUUGUGGCCUGUAAAUGCACUAACAGUUUGGGCCCAAAGCAAAGCCUGCAGAUCUAGACGGUUGCUGCCUUGUUUAUUUCAAUCCAGUUUGGAUAUCUUCCAUCGAUUUGUACUUGUUGGGCUUCGAAAUCUUUUCCAAUCGAUUCUGGAUUUAUUAGUUCCUUUAAUAAAUAUGGCGGGUUGUUAUCGGGGACUAACAAAUAGUAGCAGUAGAUAACUUUAUGGAUUAAUUAAUAAUUGAGCUCACCCACCAUAAUAAAGUCUUUGGAUAUCAAAUCAGGCACAAGGAGCUUUUCACCAAAAUGUUCAAAUACAUACCUGACCUCACUUGAUUUUGUCUGCCUCAGGAGUUAGCCUAAACUUGACUUCAACAAUAAAAGCUUAUUAUUAUAUUCGGUGAAUUAUUAAAGAUUUGACUCAUCCAUCCAAAUUCCACCUUCCAUUCGCUUGCAAAUUGCAAUGCAACCUUUUUAUACGAUGAUAAACUAGUCUAAACCCUAUACAUGACAAACCAAUUUUCAGGAAAACCACUAAAAAGAAAGGUCCAAUCAUUUUGCCUAUUUUGACCCUUUCACUUCUCAUCCCACUCCUCUCUUUUCUAUAUUUUCCAAUGGAAUGGUAAGACAACCGUUUGCUUAUUAUAUGCAUGAAAUGAAUUGGCAAAGACAAGCCCAUCCUGAGGUGCUGCUGUGUUCGAUUCGCCCCUCCUACCGUCUUGUAUAUCUUGGAAGCAGGGUGCACAGGUACAAAAAGAGAUUAAUUGAUAAAAAAAUCGAGAUAUUUUCUGUAUCAAAAAAAAAAAUUUGACAAAGACAAAAGCUAUGAUAAACUAAUCUAAACUCUAUCAUUUUGCGCAUUGUACAUGAUCUUCAAGGAAUUUGUUACUACUUUUAAAAUACUACUAGAUAGACUAGUAGGUCACUAGAACUGGAGUAAGAUCUUUACAUAAAUGUCAAAAAAAAUUGCAUUGGAAAUUUGGAAGAAAUACUAACGUACUAACCAACCGUGGCGUAGGCGUAGAGGAAAAAUCUUUCAAUGCCACACGUUUAUUCAAGAAAAAAAAAAAGAAUCAAGGGUUAUGUUACCUGAGUAAAGCGCGGACCUAUGUGGGCGCCCCUUGAAAAUUCACCCCAAAAAAAAAAAAAAAGACAAAAUAAAUACUUACUAUUCCCUUCCCUUCCCUCCUCCCAUUGCCCCGGAAAAUCUUCGCUGCCCAAAAUCCCUAACCCUAGCUGAAAAUUUACUCCCGCUUCUCAAACCCUCAUUCAAUUUCCCGAUGGAAAUCUCUGUCAUCUCCGAUGCAUUAACGUCAGUGGCCUCAACCCAAGGUUUAAGCUUAGGGGUUUCAAAGCUCAACUUCUGUUCAAAUCAGUCUUCUGAACAAUCCGCCGGAAUUCUUCAAAUCUCCGCCAUGAUUUUUCCUCUCGAUGCUGUUGCACCACCGCCGGUGAAGUCGAAUCGGACAAGAACUUUACCGCGUAGACUGAUCAAGAAAAGGCGUCGUACCAGAAGAAGAUCUUCAACCGGUGAUGAUGAUAAUGAUGAUCCGGAAGAAGUUUUCGGGUUUUUUGGCGGCGACGGAGGAGUUUUUGAUGGGCCGUUUAAUAAUGGUGGCGGCGGCGGCGGUAGUUGGAAUUUUGGUGGGUUUGGAGGGGCAAAUUGGGAAGGGUACUCAUCCAACUCGUAUAAUGAUCCAGCGUUCGAUUUUGUUUACGAGGUGUUGUCGUGGAUUGUUUUAUCGAAUUGUUUGCAUUUUGCGUUUAAGAAGGUUGUGAGGAUUGUGGCUGAUGUAUUUGGUGAUCCUGCUAGGGAGAAGGUCCCGAUGAGAUUGGAACCUGUUUGCUGAAUUGGUAAAAGAAAUUGACUCCCCGAUGCAAAGAUAAACUCUUUACUCUGAUACACAUAAUUUAGGAUUUGAUUAUAUGUUCUUCGGGAAAAAAAUUAUGUAAAUAAGUGGACAGUACAUUUAGGACUAUGCUUCUUAAGUUCGCCAUUGCAUUUACCUUUUUAUUGUUUAUCAGCGUAAAUAAUGUAAAUAUUCAUCGAUGGAUGUCUGGCUGAUUUUCAAUUUGCUUUACUCUAUAUGAUUCUUCUAUCCACGGACUGAUAUAGUUGCGUUGCAUGGAUUGCGUGUUUGUGAUACUUCUGUUAUACGUUCUGUGAUGAUUGUUGUGGAGAUGUGUUCCCCUUCCAUCAUACAAGUCUGUGAGCAAAGAUUUGAGUUGUCUUGACAAAUAAAUAAAAGUGUAAGCUGGAGAUUUUUUAUGCUACUUGACUUGCAAUGCUGGAUAUGGUAAGGGUAGCACAAUCAAUUACUCCUAAAAAUUUUUUUGCUCUUGCAUUUUAAAGAUUUGCUUGGCCUUAAAGAUGUAUCUUUUUCUUUGUGAUUCUUGAUUAUCGUAGACUUCACAUCUCCCCUUCAAAAAUGAUUUCCCUCCCUAUAUCCCUGCCUUUCAAUGUGGUCUACGUUGUGUAUUCUGGGCCUGUUGAAUGGCAAGAUCGAGUCUUUGAGCAUGGUAUGUUGCUGUAUUGUUGUUUGGGAGUUCAUAGGAUAGUUAUUACUUCCAUGUGUGCGUGUCUGAAGCCUGUGAUCACCUGUUUCAUUUCUGGUUUACCAACUACAAAUAUUGUAACUAAUGAGAGCCAAAGAGGCCGUAUUUCUUUCUGGUUUGAGGGCCAGAAAUGUUGUAACUAGUAAGAUCCAAAAGGAGCAUUUGGUGGUUUUAUCUUCUUCAGAAGUAAGAAACCAGUAAUUAGGUUGGCCCCUUUGGGUAGUCAAAUCUCCUAUUACUGCCAGAAAUUACGAACUUUCUUUUGAUGUCCCUGCCCUUAACUUAUUAUGUUUAAGAUCUUACGACAAUGAAGUUAGUGAAUAUCGAUCAUAUGCCUUGUGAAGUGCUAUAUUUACAUUUUCUUGCAAAGGAACAUCCAAUGGUCUCUCUUUUACUGACUUAGAGGCCUUGAAUACCAUAAUAAUUGGGAUUUGCCUAGGGCAAAUUUCAGAUUCCUUAUUUUAUUUGAAGUCAGGCUGAUUGAUCGAAGCAUGAGUGCCUUUCUUUUGGGGGUUUUGUUCACGGCCUCUGAACCAAUUUAGUAUGAUUGCAAUUUUUUUUUUCUUCUUUUGGUGCUUGUCCUUGCAUUGACUGUUGAGUCAACUGGCUACCUCCUCGUGUAAUUUCUCUAGCACAAUCGCUGUUGCAAUUUUUUGUAGUUUCUUUAGUAUUUUACUAUUAAAAUGAAGACUAACAGAAGGUUCGGAGGCAUGUGCCUGAAAGACUGUUUGUUCCCCAGCAGGUUGGUUGGUAAAUUCUUGACAUGCUGUAAGGUUAAACCAAUCUACGGUGGAUGCAGCAUGCAAUGGACCUAACUUAUCCAUGACUUCAUACCACACUUUUCUACUUUCUACGCCAUUUAUCUUUUACGAUGGGGGAACUAGGUAGCAAACUGUCAAGGAACAUAGAUGGCAGUUUGAAAAAGCCCCACGCAUAUGUCCCAUUUAGAUUUGAAGUGACACAAUCAGCACUUGGUUCAUGCAUCUUCUUAGUCACUUUCGAUCGACUAACUAUUCCUAGUAAAAUCACAAUUACACAUAAAACACUGGAUAAAUUAUUUUAGUACCCCGAGUCUCUAUCUGCCGACGUACGGCUGUCUGUCUGGUCUGUGGUUUAUUCCUUUCUCUUCUUCUUGGAUAUGGAUCUUUCUCACUACUUUGUGUCUCUUCUAUCUCCUGUUCCAGUAAUAUUCGAUUUUGAACUGCUAGAUGUGGCAGUAAACAUCAUGGCAUUGUUCAUCUGUUUCGUAGAAAAGGGGAAAAGAUGUUACCGGAAAUGUGCAGAAAAUUUCAAAGAGUGCCCAAAUAGUUGUUGGUCCCAUUCAGCGUUUACUCCUCCUUUCCGGAGCAUUUUCCUGGGUAACUUCCUAAGUACCUUGUAGGUGAUACGGCUGCUUUGUACAUAACAGCUCUUCCCUCUAAUACCCGAACAUAAAAGUCCUGUGCCAAAAUAAACAGGCAUAGGAUGGACUCUGAGAACGAGAUGAAUGCUGGAAUUAUGUACGAAGCUUCUUCUUCAAAUUGCGUUGGAUAGAAUUUCAAGAAUGCGGGUGAUUAUCCAGCUGAAAACAAACUCUAUCGUACUUUAAUUUGAUCGCCGAAGUAUUUUGCGAUUUUUUUCUGUUAAAAUCAGUAGUAAAUUGCACUAACUUGUGUGAUAUAAACUGAAAAGUCAAAUUCCAAAAAGUUUAAGGACAUUUUUUUCCCCAGCACACCACCCUAGGUAACUUGCCAAACAAUUUAUCUUUUUACCAGAAAAGACCAUUCCAAACUGGUAUCAAGCACCUUUUGUUUUCGAAACAAACGAGUAAACAUGAAAAUCCAUUCGGGACUCCUGUCAAAUUAGCGAUCGAUGCACGCUUGAUGCGUGUGUAAUGAAUGUAGAAUCCUUCGUUUGAGAUAACGAAUGUAGAAUCCUUCGUUUGACAACAAAAUUUAAAAGUAGUAAAUUUAAAAAGUUAUUGCAACAAAAUAUGAUAACAAUCAAACAAAAAAAUUAAAAGAAGCAAUCACACGCAGUGAUUGACUAAUGAAUCUUUUAAGAAGUGGAAAAUUUUGUUCUAAAUGUACUCUCAUAUUGAGAUGGAACUCCACAAUCAUCUAGAGGAUAUUGUAUUCAACAAUUGAAAAGCAUCAAAAUCUUAUGGCAAGAGAUAGAAAAAAAGAAGAAGAAGUUUCGCACAAAGGAGAUGUAAAAGAAGUUAUUUAUGUGAUUUUGAUUUGUAGUUAGGUGGUGGGGGUAUUUCAUUGUGUGAUGUUAGUGGUUAGUUAGAGUGGGAUUAGUGAUGAGUAGCUAUUUUCUUGAUAAAGGUAAUAUGUACAUGUAUAAGAGAGAGGAGAGUUGAGUUGAAUGAUAAAGAAGGAGAGAUUUUUAGUAAGAGAUUCUGAAUCCAAAAUCUCCUACUUAAAAAAAAUAAAAAAGAGAAUAUAUACACGUCACAAAAGACUAAUCUAAUUUUCAAAUGGUUCAAAUCAACUUUGCAUUUCAAUGUAGGCUCCGUAUGUCUUGACUUGGAGGUGGUUCAGUAUUUUCCGAGUCUCCAGUAACAACGAAGUCGGGUCUAUCUUUUCUUCGUAGUAGUAUAGGAGUAGUCGUAAGCAAAUAUCUAUUAUGUUUGUCAAAAAAAGAAAAAAAAACAGAGAAAACACCUGUGUGUGCAACGUUUUCCCGUCAUAGAAUGUAGAAUAGUCAAUAAUGUUUCAAAUGCGCGGACUACCGAAUCCAGCCACAGUAAAAGUUGGUGUGCACUAUACAGUUGACCCCUUAAUUAUUGAGGUCUGAAUCCUUCUCUCUACCACUACCAGAAGAAAGGGUUCACGAGAUUGAGGUGCGAUUUUUCAUAUAUAUAUAUAGGUUGGAAUUCAAGACAAUCUAAGAUUUGACGUUUCUUGGGUGUUUUUUGUACUCUUGUCACCGUAGCAUUUGCGAAAUUUGGUUGAAGAUUUGAAAACGUGCAGGCUGCAGCUUAGAAAGGAGACAUUUUGGCGAUUAUCCGACGUGAAAAAACAGUGCGGACAAAAAAUACUUUGAUACGUUCGGUGCUCUUUUCAGCGUUUCCCCUUGACAAAUGACUGACUUAUUUUGUAUGUAAAAGGGGUUCCAGUCUUACAAUCUUAAAGGGGAUUCCAAUCACCAUAUGUAAGGAUUAUUUCCUUUCUUUAUACAGUCAUCACUGCACUAAUACUGGAGGUGGCAAAAUGGGCGGGAUGGGCGGGAUUUGCUUGGGUUUGAGAUGGAACCGAGUCAUAUGGGUUUGGGUCCAACCUUACCCAUAUGUGUUUUGGGACUAACUUGGGCGGGAUCAUUUUGGGAUGGGUUUAGAUUGUAUAUAAUUUUAAUAUUUUUGAUUUAUUAAAUUUCUUUUAGUUUUAUUAAAUAAACAUGCAAGUGCUUUAUACUCAAGAUUCCCACCAAAAAUUGGAUUAACAAAUAAAGGAAAAGAUAGAUAUACAGCCAUAUUCCAACAUAUAUCAAGAUGGCCAAGGUCCUUAGGAUGUUGAAUAUUUAUCCUCAUCAUUGUCCAAGGAUGACAGGUCUAAACUAACUGAAAUGCUGGAAAUUCUUGUGGAUAAUGACUAGGAAGACUACUAGAUUAUAUUCGCUGGUAUGACUAUAAAAAUUGUUAAAGAUAAUUUUUGAAUCUAAGACUCCGUUUGGAUUGACUAUUUUUUCAAAAAAUAAGUUUUUCAAAUACAAUGUUACAGUAAUAUACAAUAACUCAAGAAACAUCCCAUCCAUAUUAGUAUAUCAAAUAUUUCAAAAAAAUUUUAUAGUAAAAAUUUUUCAUAUACACGGCUACAAUAAAAUAUUUCAAAAACACCUACCAAAAAUAGCUAAUCCAAACGGAGCCCUUGCCAUUUGAGCCCAAUGGGUACCCAAGUAUUUCCCAUCCUUUCCCAUUCAUUAAUGGGUAUAGUUGGGAUGUGUCCCAACUUAAACCCAAUACCAAAUUAUAAUACCCAUCCCGCCCAAAGUUCCUUUGGGCAUGGGUAGCCCAUUGGGACUUGGGACAAAUUGCCAGCCUCUCAACUAAUACGUACUGACUUGGAGUACAUGGUGUAUUACGCAAGUCAAUUGUAAGCAAACAUUAUCUUAUUUAGUUAAGAAAUGGGUGAUUCAAGGAAAACAAUUAUACUACUAAUACGUUGUUAACUCCUAAAUAAUCUGGCCCACGCUCAACCAAGCCCCACAAGUAGCGGGAUGUAUUAAUUGUCAGUAAACGGGUUGAUGUUUAAAAGCCGGAAAUUCUCUCCGUCAAAUAGCUGACCUCAUCAUCCUCUGUGCCCCCCCCACUGGCACAGUGCUUAAUUACGAAAAGGUGUCUUGAUUGGAUGAAUGGAACAGCAUCAUUACCAAUCAGACAUUAUUAAUUAGCCAAAUGCAGAAUACGACACAAAUUUUUUGCAAUGAAGUAUUUCUUCUAAUCAUACCGUGAUAGUAACGUAGUAAUACUACCCUUGCUGGCUAAUUAAUUGAUGCCAAAGCAUUAUUAUUAUUAUUAUUAUUAUAGUGUACCAUGAUAUUGACACCAUCCACAGAAUGCAGUAAAAAUUAUCCCACAUCAGGCAGUAAAAGUCUGAAAGUACACGCAAAAGACAAAACAGGAGAGAAAAACACGCAGUUUCUAAUCUAGAUAGUCUAUGGUAAAAUUUCACUUAAUACAGCAGAUUAUUAGGCUGCUGGGCUGUAGCAACAAGAUCGUCCAUCAUCCAGAGAUCAACCGGGUCCGAUUCAGUGAUCCCACCAAACUGAGAUGUUGCUGUGGUGGUCGUCUCAGGUUCUAAGCCCAGGAAAGAUUCCAAGCUGGAAAAUUGAUCCCCAUACUGAUAAUCUUGAUCAGUCACUUGGGACGGAUAGUAAGGCUGGGGUUGGAAGCCAGGGUCCACUACUGGCGGGGUUGGUCCAAUUGACUCCAAGAUCUCCUGAUCAGGCUGAGGAUAAUAAGCCGGCGGUGGCUCAGGGGUGACACAACGCCGCUUGGCCAGUGGCUGCCGAGGUGGUGUCGGCUGUGAUGGGGUGGUUGGUGGCGGCUGAUCAUCAGCAACAAAGUUGAGUUUAGCCUUGUCGCCCCGGAUGCGCUUGGCUGCCUUGUCAUAAGCCCUGGCUGCUUCUUCAGCUGUGUUGAAUGUGCCGAGCCAAACUCUAACGCCCUUUUGUGGAUCGCGAAUCUCAGCUGCCCAUUUUCCCCAUGGCCUCUGUCUGAUCCCUCUGUACUUGUUCUUCCUAGGCUUCUGACUGAUCUUCUCAGACUUCUGAUUACCUGCUCCUACACUUCCAAAAAAAUCACUUCUUCUUGCUAAUACUACAUCAAUAAUCAUUCAAGUUCAACAAAUUCUUUCAAGUUGUUGUGUUGUAGCAUGAAAAAUUGAUCUACUAUGUACACGUACAUAUGUCAAUCUCAGAAUUACCUAUGCAUAAUACAUACAUGCAGCUACACCGUAUCAAAAUAUAUAGGUGGAUAUAAUAUAGUAAUACUUUGUACGUAUGGAUUUGUGAAAACCCUGAUGGAGUUGUUACGGUAAAGAAAUACUUAUUAGUAAAUAUGUUUAGAGCCAUCCUAAAUAGUAAAUACGCAGUCCCUAAGAAAGUAGAUAAUAAUAUAAUUGGAAACUAAAAGCCUAUUAUAUGUAAGCUUGCUGAAGUAUGCAUACAUACAUAUCAAAAUAUAGGAGCGUCCAAGUAUGCAGUAGAUGUAUUUACAUGUACGUAUGAAUCAUCAACAUAAAUCAUUUUCUGAGCGCGCAAUUAAUUAGGUCGUCAUACAACUAUUAUACUUUAUUAUUGGAGUAUUAUUAUUAUUUUUUUGGUAAUUUAUCCAAAAAUGGCAAAAAAGUACAUAAAGGUAGCAAGUGGUAGUAAUAAACCAAGAUGAAUGAUAGUAUCAGCAGAAAAUUCAAAGAUAUGUAAGCUAGUGGCAGUAGAUUGUGUUCAGGUAAUGGGGGGUGAGUGGACCGACCUUUCUUUGGGUGCUUGUUCUUGUCAGUGGCCUUGGUAUCUGCAGCCUGGCCAGAAGGGUCGAAGCCCCAGAAGGGAGAGAUGGUGUCAAACUCAGCCCACAGUUCUUUUGGGGUUAACUUCCGGCCGGGGUUGAUCGGAGACCCCCCGGAAAUGAUUGCACCUCCACACAUCUUUCUUUUUUUUUGUUGGUUGUUCUUGUUGUCUGGCAGAAGAAGAUGGUAGGAAAAAAGUUUUCAGAGAAAACUGAAGAGGAGGAGGAAAUGAAAUGAAAAAGGAGGAAUAAAUAGAGCAGAGAGAGAGAGAGAGAGAGAGAAGGAGAAGCGUUACGUAUUGAGGGUCUUAGUGUUGUGUUUUGUUACGUGAUUUUACGAAAGAGGGGACGGUUACGAAUCAAUAAUCAAAGGGAAAAUGACAAGUGAGGAGAGCUGAACCCAGACUUUGUUUUUAUUCGGAUUGUAUAUUUUAUUUAUAUACAUAUAUGGGAUCAAACGGUGGAGAGAGGGCCCAUCCAUUUGAUGUUGAUGAUGUGAUGUAACGUAACGGGGAAAUUUUCUUUUAUUUUUUUUUGUGGGUCCAGAUGAGAUGAGAUGUGUGAUGAAAUUAUGCACAUCAAAUCAGUAUUGAGAUUUUUGCAAGUUGGCAAGGAAAUUUGGGUAAAUUUGAGCUACCGUAUUUCGGUGCUCAAAACUCUGAUUUUCAUUCCGCUUACUUUAUUUUAAAUCUUGUUUAUAACUCUAAUUGAGUUCCAAAUUUCAAAGGCUGGUUCGCAAUGGGUGCGGUUUCUGCAAUUGGGCUAUUUUAAAAGAUAUACUGACAAAAUAAAUAAAUGUAAAUAUUAAUGCAUUAUAGCAUGUAAAAAAAAAAACAACAACUUUAGAAUUAUUUUGUUACAAUUAAUUUCAUCUUUCAAAUUUAUAUUGAGCACAUCUGGGUUAUUUUUUUUUUCAGACAAAAAACACAUCUGGAUUAUUAAUUGCAAUUGCUUUGCCUAUCGCAUAGAACCCAUCCUUGCAAGAGGGUGUGGGAUGUUGGUCCCAACCCUCCUUCCCGAUUUGGAUACGUCAAAUUAUGAGAGGUCUUUUUUAACAAUAAAAUUAGGAGAUUUUUUUCUGAAAUAAUAAAAAUGUGAUAUUAAAUGAGUUGAUUCCUGGUACAUAGUACUAAUACUAGUUUAUUUUCUUUGGAUUUUAGACCAUAUGAAAGAAAGCAUUGCCACUAUAAUAUAAAUAAUAAUCACAUCAGAAAAUUCUGCCCCCCAAAAAAAGGCAUUAAAAGAAAGAUGACAAUCGAAGAUUAUAUCCCAAAAAAGGAAAAAAAAAAAGAGAGUAAAGAUACACUAUUACUGUCUCAGAAAGAACCAAUAAUGUCGACAUAGUGGCACCAACCUAAAAGCCACACGCAGUCGAAGGCCCCAAAAAACUUGCUUUUGGGCUGACCCAUCUCGUUUUCCACAAAUAUUUUCUUGACACAUUUCUUAAUUACUUCACAUGCAUCACGGUAUAUUUUUUUUCCUCAAAAAACUUACAAUCCAAACGGGUUAUCAUCUAAUAAGCAUUAAUUAAAGUUUAAAUGGAUUUAGGAGACAAAUAAUGAAGUAUAUUAUGAUUUGUCCAUCAAUAAUUCCGUUUCUUUCUUGUCAAAAAAAAAUAAAAAUGCAUUAGUAGAACUCAGAAAACAGAUCAACAAGGCGCAUUUCUCUUAUCCCACCAAGGGCAAGGGCUAGUUUACUUCGGGAAAUAUAAUAAUAUGACAUCAACUGCAUGUAGCAGUGCCGCAAAAGGGCAAACUUCACGAGGCACAGCGCAUCAGACUAAAUGGCUUUUAGGGAGCGGGGGUUAGACUGCUGAGACUUGUCUCGAACAGAAAGAAACGCUUCUUUUGUUAUUGCCUCCCAACAUUUUCUAUGCCUUCUUCUGAAGAAACAGCCCAAAAGUUCCACAUCAUCCGUGGGAAACCGUUCCUUAAGAGGAGGCCAAGGUUAUGUCAUUCACAACCCUACAAGCUUCCAAUGCAAUAAUCUUCCCAAACAAAACAUAUGAUAUGAUAAUACCCAACAACUAUCACUCCAAUAAUUUCGUUGAUCUCUGAUUGCAUCUGGGGUCUGGCAAACUUAGCAUAAGCAGAAGACAAGAAUACGUUGUCGUGCCAUGCUCCAUAGGCAAAGCCCUGGGAGUUUUGAGGGGAAACUUAAGACCUGAUCCCUUGCUCACAAGUCACAAUAACACAACACUGUGAGGAUCUUAUACCAUCAAUUUACUCGGUCACCGUGGAAUUUAGUACUCACCCUUUCGUAUAAAACCUACAUGAAGAUAUCAAUGAAUGUAUAGCAUAAAUUUUCCAUGAAACAAUAUAAUAUUUUGUUCCUCAUUCAUCAUCUCAGCCUCAAUCUAAUGAAACAUGUGUGUUAUACAUGACUAUAAAAUAUCACCUAUAAUGGGUGUAGACCCAAUCAACCAAACAAAAGCAAUCUUUUAGCAGACUAACAUAUAUAAUCUCUCCAACAAAUCGCAUUAAGUGGGAAAUUAUCAAAUGUAAAGCGCAGUUGUACACCAAAGGCCACAGAGACAACAUCUGCAAGCUCGUCUAGUCAGCCAUUUUGGUUAACCGAUGAAUGGUACUUCUUGCAACCCUAUUACCAGGAUCAAUUCUCAUAACACUUCUGAGGUCUUCAGCUCCAAGCUUGUACUUCUCCAUACUCUCGUACAAAAGAGCACGUUGCACCAAGAUGUUCACAUUUUUGUCAUCUUGUUCUAGCGCCUGCACAAUCCAAUGGCCAAAAAGUCUCUUACUUGGAGUGAACCGCAAAAACUCCUCAGCACGAUAUUAAAAGAUCAAACAAGAACCAGCAUAUUUAUUCACCAGCCCCAAUUAAUAUUCAAAAAAAAAAAAACGAAAAAGAACAAACAGAAAGAUGCAUCAGUGUCCCGUGGAUUUUCAUUACCUUCCUGCAGAUGCUCCCAGAAAACACCACCUACAUUUUUGUCAGCAUAAACCAGGGGAAGAAGGAAUAGUAUCUUAAAUUACAGGUUUUCUCUAAGUGGCUAUGCCAACUGCAUACUAUUUCCAUAAACUGCAAAUACAGAUCUCGUGAAGGGACAUCAACUUAUACAGGAAGCACAAAGUGUAGAAAGAAAGGUUCAACAAAACUUUGACCUGGUCUGAAGCCUAUACCUAAGUAGCUUGCUCGUACAUCCCCUCCCCCCGCCCCCAAAAAAACCAAAGAAAAAAAACCCCGAAAAUCCCCAACAAAAGGUAUCAUGCAUAGAUGUAAACAGAAUGGAUCCACGCGGCUAGUUAGGCAAGGUGAUCUCAAUAGCAACAAUAAUAAUUAAUAAAUACAAAGGAAAGGGGCCUUAAAUAGUUUCCAUUUCAAUAAUGUGAGACACAAGGGUGUUAUAAUAGCAGUAUCGUUUUCCAAAGGCUCUCAAUGCCCCGUUCAAGCCCUUGACCAACCUCUAAACUGUUCACUAAAAGGUCUUGACUGUAGUUUGAUCCAUGCUGAUCAAGUAUGAAACUUUAAAUUUAGUCAUGGAAAGACCGACUAAAACUUCCUAGAAAAAUACCUGACAAGUCUCUUUAUAAAACAGUUUUCAUACUGUAGCAACUUGGGACUAAAUAUACAAUUCUUGAUCCAAUUAACUAGUCCUCCAAUAUAUCGGGGAGCUAGUCUAUGAAAGAGGGAUGGUUCAACUCUAACUUGCACAAGUAGUUUCUUUAGCAGUUGAAGUGCCAUGCCAACAUUUAAGUAUGUCACAGAAACAAGAGCUGCUACCCCUAUACUCACAUAAAAUAAAAAUUCUUGAAGUUAUCUGCCAGAUAAAACGCAAAAUUCACCAGUUACUUGACGAAGUUCAGUGCUCAGACUAGCUAUAUUUUGGGAAGGUGCAAUUACAGGGCUAGUUAUUUUGGCACAGCAAUUCAACCUGGAAAAGCACCGAAAAUCAUGAAAAAAUGAUUUUGAAGAAAAAUAAUAUACCUUUGUGCAAUCAGCUACAGCUUUCUUAUAUUCACCAACUUCUUUGUAACAUGCAGCUCUGCAUGUCAAGACGUCCAUGAUGCCAGUAUCAUCUCCAGCUUUCUCCAAAAGAACGACGGUCCAAGACAACCAUUUUAUGGCGUCAGCAAACUGGCCCUGCUUGUAAUUGUCUAAUCCCUUAUUUUUCGCAGUUGAAGCACUAACACCAGCAGGUGGGGGUGGAAGUCCUUCAAGUUCGGUUGUCCCACCUGUGUCAUGGCCAUUGAAGUCCGAUUCGAAUCCCCAGUCAUCGCGCCCAGAAGAAUCCUGGCUUUUAAAUUCAGCACCGCUGCCUGGAGUUGUCGUAAACAAUGCAUCAAAACUAUCAACACCAGUGGACUGACCAGAUGGUCGACUAUGAGGCUGACUACUAGGGAACCCAAAAUCAUCAAUAUUCGAAAAAGAACCUCCUGCACCUGGCCCAGCAGUAUUAUGGUUCCCCGAAGGAAAACUACUUGGCUGACUCUGGGACGGAGUACUAAAGAACCCAAAAUCGUCAACAUUUGAAUAAGAACCUCCUGCACCUGAUCCUGUCGAGUUGCUUUUUCCUGAGGUAAAACUACCUGAAGGAUGUGCAACUCCACUUGUUUUUGAAGCACUCUGAAAACUUUGAAAUGCAUCAUCUCCAACUUUACUACUAGCACUUCCUUUACUCUCUGACUUCAUAUUACCACUCGGUUUAGACGAAAAAUCAACUAAGGAACCAAACGGGUCCUUAUUUGAACCCAUCCCACCCAAUCCUCCACCUCCAGCCAUACUCUUCACAGAAGGACCACCAAGAUUUGUUCCUUUACUAGCAUUCCCAUUCAAGUUAACAUUCCCUCUAUCACUGUUGUUACUGCUAAAUCCACUCGUAUAAGUCCCGAAAGUUUCACUAGACCCCCAAUUUCCGCUACUUUUUGUUGAAUUACCCGUUUUGGGCAAUGAAUCCGCCAUACCCCCCAUUGAAAAUGAGCUCUUAUUCGACGCCGGAGCUGCAUUUUUCAAAGGCACAUUACUAUUGCCCUUGUUCUGACCCAAUGCCGAGCCAAGCAAAUCACCAAACAAGUUGGGAUCUUUGUUAACAACUCCACUCCCAGAAUUCAAACUGCUAGCUGGGGCAGAUGAACCCCAACUCUUCCCAAAAAUAUCCCCCACCAUCGAAGUGGGACCCGAUAGAGAUCCUGUCCCAGCUGAUUGAGCCGGAGCAGCUGGUUGGUGGGUCCAUGAGGGUUUGUUAAUAGGCUGGUGAGUCCAGGACGGCGUCGUACUGGGCUUUGCCUGAGCCGAUGAAUAUGAACCAUAUGAAGAAGUCUGGUUCUUUUGAUCGUUAAGAGAUCGAGAACCCGACUUUCCAAGACCCAAAUCGAAGUCGAAACUAUUUAAGGAUCCCGAUUUGCUAUUGGAUUUUCCGUAGUUUGAAUUCAUUUUCCUCCUCUAGAUGUGAAUUAUGUUUAGGAAGUUUGGGCUAAUCAAAUUAAAGCCAGAUAAAAAAUCGAAAACUAAACGUAGAUGAUCCGAAAAUAUAGAUCAAACAACGAACUACUAAAAGAAAGAAAGAAAGAAGGGAUCUCGGAUGGGUUCAGUAUAUACCUGAUGGAGUUAAAAUUGGAAUUUGCAGAGAGGUUAAAGAAAAGCUUGGACCGCGUAAGGCUGAAAGGAGCUCAGAGCCACCGCUGGAGAGAAACCAAGUCGGGGGGAAUAAGAAAUGCGACGGGACCGCGAGUUGGAGCAGGAGCUGGCUAAUUAUUUGUCAUGUUUGAUCCGGUUUACCAAUUUAGCGACUGAGGCAAAUUUUUUAAAAUUUGCAAAUCCCCCCAAUGAGUUACUCCUGUAUGUUAUAGGAGUACAUCUACGCAACUUGAACAUAAAUGACAAUUUCCGUUAAUGUUUAGUAAAUAUCUGCAUGGAAUUAUUUUUGAGAUCUUGAACAAUUUAAAUAAUGAUUCCCAUUACACACGAAAGUCAUAAAGUGAUGUGUUUAAAGAUUAAAUCCAUCAAUUUAUUUGUAGGUUGACCAUGCUCAAGUUCCAUUUAUGUCAGAUGAAUCUUAAGAGUGUGUUUGAAUAACAAAUCAUUUGGGAUAAUUUUUUUUAAACUAUUGUAGCGCUUUUUCUUGUAAUGUAUGUAAGAUAAAAUGGUAAUUGAAAAAUGUGUUGAUGAUAGAAACAAAUAAAAUUUGAUGAAUAAUCACUAUCCAAACAAAUAAAAUUGUAGGGUUUUACCAUGAAAUGUUUUUCAAUAUUAGGCUUCUUUAUUGUUUCGUUAGGUGAUUGACUAAUUACUUUUUUUUUCUCUUUUUUUUUUUUGAAGCAAAAUAGGAGCACCUGAAAUACCCAUCAUUUACAAGAAAGAUGUAGGUACGCUUCUCAAAUUUAGAUGGAAUUUUAGAGCAGUCUGUUUAAGCUUUUAGGAAGAUUGAUAUAUUGACUAACUGCAGCGAAAUGAGGGUUCACUAUCAUUUUUCACAUGAAAUUGGCAAUUAAUCUCACCUCCAACUAAAUGAAAUACACUUCUUUUGUUGCUUUUACGUUGAUAUUAUCCUCUAUUACCAAAAUUAUACACUUCUUUUUUUGGUACAAACGAAAAUAUACACUUAUUUUGAGGUUUUUAAAAGCAUUGGCAUUGAAUAGCCAAGAUAUUUCUGAAUAGUCACAAAAAGAAUAGUCACAAAAAUUAUCCACUUCUUUUUCUGGUACAAACGAAAAUAUGCACUUAUUUUGAAGUUUUUAAAGCAUUGAAAUUGAACAAUGUAGCCAAGAUAUUACUGAAUAGUCACAAAAAGAAGACAACCGUAUUUCUAUCAGCUAGCACAUGUGCUGAAAGAUAAUUUUUCCCUAUCAACUUUUGCAACGAAAACAUCAAAGGGGAAAGCAAGCAAGGUAAGAAUAUCUUGCAAUUCGCACCGGCUUCACUUCGAGACACUCUUCUUCAAAUCCUUAAGGUGCAAGAUGAGCAGCAAGGCUUUUCAAUCCCCAAAUACACAUUUGUAGUCAGUACAAGGCAAGAAGAGGCAUUUUUUCCGUUUUGACUACAUAACUUAGAUGUUUGUUGUUCAUCACCAUCUAACUUCUCGAGAAACACAGCAACCGUCACCAUUUCCAGUUCUAUCUCUUAUUAAUCGGACAAGAAUUCAAGGUUCAAAAGGAACUUAUAGUUGCAGUUAAAGAAAAUGCCUCCUGAAGUUUCAGUUACUUCAAGGGCCAUUCUACUAAAUCAAGUAAAAUACCAAUUACAAAAGAUCCCAAUGGAUAUUCACACGAGUUCUGACAUGCCAGGUAACAUGCAGUCUUUCCUAACCAGCUAACUUGACAAUACAUGACGGGCCAAAUUACUAUCCAUCCCUCAAGCUUAACUAAAUUCAGAGGAGUCUCAUAUUUCAACAACUAUGAUUUUCAGGCAUUUUUCCCCU